UACGUAGGUGACCAGCGUUGUCCGGAUUUACUGGGCGUAAAGGGCGCGCAGGCGGUCGUUCAAGUCGGAUGUGAAAGCCCCCGGCUCAACUGGGGAGGGUCAUUCGAUACUGAUCGACUCGAAGGCAGGAGAGGGAAGCGGAAUUCCCGGUGUAGUGGUGAAAUGCGUAGAUAUCGGGAGGAACACCAGUGGCGAAGGCGGCUUCCUGGCCUGUUCUUGACGCUGAGGCGCGAAAGCUAGGGGAGCAAACGGG
This 253-nucleotide ribosomal RNA is filed under the name uncultured bacterium. RNAcentral's name for it is "partial 16S ribosomal RNA". It matches the Rfam family "Bacterial small subunit ribosomal RNA", at positions 524 to 776 of the family's 1533-position model. The record is from RNAcentral.